UUGGAGGGCAAGUCUGGUGCCAGCAGCCGCGGUAAUUCCAGCUCCAAUAGCGUAUAUUAAAGUUGUUGCAGUUAAAAAGCUCGUAGUUGAAUUUCGGGAUCAAUAUUUCGGUCAUGCCGUUGGUAUGCACUGUUAUCAUUGAUUUCUCACCUUCUAAAGAACCGUAAUGCCAUUAAUUUGGUGUUACGGGGAAUUAGGACUGUUACCUUGAAAAAAUUAGAGUGUUUAAAGCAGGCUCACGCUUGAAUACAUUAGCAUGGAAUAAUGAAAUAGGACAUCCGAUUCUAUUUUGUUGGUUUCUAGGAUCGAUGUAAUGAUUAAUAGGGAUAGUUGGGGGCAUUAGUAUUCAAUUGUCAGGGGUGAAAUUCUUGGAUUUAUUGAAGACUAACUACUGCGAAAGCAUUUGUCAAGGAUGUUUUCAUUAAUCAAGAACGAAAGUUAGGGGAUCGAAGACGAUCAGAUACCGUCGUAGUCUUAACCAUAAACUAUGCCGACUAGGGAUCGGAUGAUGUUAAUUUUUUAAUGACUCAUUCGGCGCCUUACGGGAAAC
RNAcentral lists this ribosomal RNA (550 nucleotides) under Funneliformis mosseae. RNAcentral describes it as "SSU rRNA". It matches the Rfam family "Eukaryotic small subunit ribosomal RNA", at positions 548 to 1098 of the family's 1831-position model. Lineage: Eukaryota; Fungi; Glomeromycota; Glomeromycetes; Glomerales; Glomeraceae. The record is from RNAcentral.